GUGAAAGUGAGUUAAGUGACUAUGAUAAAUUGUAAAUAGCCUCUUCUGUGGCCAGAGAAUGGGAAAGACUCAUUGGGGGCUUUAUUCUCUAUGACGCAAAGUUCAUUAUGUUUGUUUCAGAGAUGCUCAUAUCAGACAUUAAGAAUAUCUGUUUAAUGACUCUUGGGAUUCUAAACAAGUUACUGGAAUGAAGCUUUCUUGAUUUUAAAUGGCUGUUUCUCCUGGCCUCUACCUGAGUUUCUGGACACUGCUGAUUCCAUCAUGAAAAAUCUUGCUCAGAAAAGGCACACACUCCCAAUAGUGUUGUGGAUAUGUGUGUGGAGGCUAUCAAACUUUUAACAAUGUGCAUGCUGAAAAUAUUUUAUUUUCAGAAAUAAACCAUUGAAAAAGUUCACAUAAGUAUUGUCGUGGUUAUUUUUCUUGCUGCUGAAACAAAAUGCCC
This 442-nucleotide long non-coding RNA is filed under the name Fukomys damarensis (Damara mole-rat). RNAcentral's name for it is "lncRNA (ENSFDAG00000022083.1)". Lineage: Eukaryota; Metazoa; Chordata; Mammalia; Rodentia; Bathyergidae. The record is from RNAcentral.